RNAcentral lists this microRNA precursor (108 nucleotides) under Caenorhabditis sp. 23 AD-2012. The record is from RNAcentral. Lineage: Eukaryota; Metazoa; Nematoda; Chromadorea; Rhabditida; Rhabditidae.
ACGGAGACUCCACCCGGCUAUGACACUGUAACAUGUCCUGGUACCAGCAGAGAUUCUGAAUCCAGACAUGUAAAGUUUCAUAGCUGGUGGUCCCCUGAUGUGUAUUCA